RNAcentral lists this ribosomal RNA (465 nucleotides) under Vreelandella stevensii. Its description in RNAcentral is "partial 16S ribosomal RNA". It matches the Rfam family "Bacterial small subunit ribosomal RNA", at positions 338 to 795 of the family's 1533-position model. Lineage: Bacteria; Pseudomonadati; Pseudomonadota; Gammaproteobacteria; Oceanospirillales; Halomonadaceae. The record is from RNAcentral.
CCUACGGGAGGCUGCAGUGGGGAAUAUUGGACAAUGGGCGAAAGCCUGAUCCAGCCAUGCCGCGUGUGUGAAGAAGGCCUUCGGGUUGUAAAGCACUUUCAGUGGGGAAGAAAGCCUUGGGGCUAAUACCCUCGAGGAAGGACAUCACCCACAGAAGAAGCACCGGCUAACUCCGUGCCAGCAGCCGCGGUAAUACGGAGGGUGCGAGCGUUAAUCGGAAUUACUGGGCGUAAAGCGCGCGUAGGCGGUCUGAUAAGCCGGUUGUGAAAGCCCCGGGCUCAACCUGGGAACGGCAUCCGGAACUGUCAGGCUAGAGUGCAGGAGAGGAAGGUAGAAUUCCCGGUGUAGCGGUGAAAUGCGUAGAGCUCGGGAGGAAUACCAGUGGCGAAGGCGGCCUUCUGGACUGACACUGACGCUGAGGUGCGAAAGCGUGGGUAGCAAACAGGAUUAGAUACCCCUGUAGUC